AGAUUAAGCCAUGCAAGUGUAAGUUCAGGUAACGAAACUGCGAAUAGCUCAUUAACACACUUAUAAUCUACUUGGAAAUAAUAUUUUUCAUCAAUAUUUUAAAAGGAUAGCAGGAGUAAUUCUCGUGCUAAUACUUUAAAAUUUAUUUAAUUUAUUUUAAUUCAUCGGAAAUUAAAUACGAUGAUUUUUACGACCUUUUUUUUUCAAGGUAAUCCAAUCGAAUGAGUGACCUAUCAAGCCAGUACGUAGGGUCUUUACCUACGUAAGCUAUCACGGGUAACGGGUGGUUAUCGUCAUACUUCCGGAGAAGGCGCCUGAGAGAUAGCGACUAUAUCCACGGGUAGCAGCAGGCGCGAAACUUACCCACUCGAAAUAUUCGGAGGUGGUAAUGACCAGUUAUAAAUAUUUUUUUUAAUAUAAAGAAUAUUAUAUAGGAAUAUAAUUUUCCAUUAUAUUGUAACCUAGCAGAGGGCCAGUCUGGUGCCAGCAGCUGCGGUAAUUCCAGCUCUGCAAGUUUGCUCCCAUAUUGUUGCAGUUAAAACGCUCGUAGUCUGAAUUCAUUCUAUUUUUUAAUAAAUAGAAUUUUAGUUUUAAAUUUAAAUUAAAACGUUCACUGUGAACAAAUCAGAACGCUUAAAGUAAGGAAUUGAAUACUUGAAUGACUUUGCGCAGUAUGAAAUUUUUACUAUUAACUUAAGCAAUUAAAUUAAUAGUAAGCUCAAGGAGAAUAAUCGGGGGUAGAUCUAUUUCAUGGCGAACGGCGAAAUGUUUUGACCCAUGAGAGAGAAACUAAGGCUAAGGCAUCUACCAAGUGUAAUUCUAUCGAUCAAGGGCGAUAGUAGGAAUAUCAAACCGGAUCAGAGACCCGGGUAGUUCCUACCAUAAACUAUGCCGACAAUAGCUUAUUAACAUACAAAGUAGUUAGUAGGAUAAUUAGAGAAAUCAUAGUUCAUGGGCUCUGGGGGAACUACGACCGCAAGGCUGAAACUUGAAGGAAUUGACGGAAGGGCACACCAGGGGUGGAGCUUGUGGCUUAAUUUGAAUCAACACGGGAAAACUUACCAGUACCAGAUAUUUCUUAAGACUGAUCAGGAUAAAGUUCUUUCAGGAUAUAAUUUUUGGUGGUGCAUGGCCGUUGGUGGUGCGUGGGUUGACCUGUCUAGCGUUGAUUCAGAUAACGAGCGAGAUUAUCACCAAUUAAAUUAAAAUUUAUUAAUUUUAUAUUAAUAAAAUUUUUUUUAAUAAUUGGGACUCCCUGUGUCUAAGCAGGCAGAAGAGGGUAGCAAUAACAGGUCCGUGAUGUCCUUUAGAUGCACUGGGCUGCACGCGCGCUACAAUGUUAUAAACAAAGAGUUUCAAAUUUUCAAAUUUAGCUAAAUUGAAAAAUUAAUUAUUUUUAGCUACUCUGUUAAAUUUUAACGUAGUUGGGAUUGAAUAUUGUAAUCAUAUUCAUUAACCAGGAAUCCCUUGUAAAAGUGUAUCAACAAUGCACGUUGAGUACGUCCCUGCCCUUUGUACACACCGCCCGUCGCUCCUACCGAUUGGAUGACUCGGUGAAAUUAUUGGCUCUUUAAUUUUUUUAAAUUAAGGAAAAGGUUAUUAAAUCACGUUAUCUAGAGGAAGGA
Molecule: ribosomal RNA, 1625 nt
Filed under: Parahistomonas wenrichi
Lineage: Eukaryota; Parabasalia; Tritrichomonadida; Dientamoebidae
Description: SSU rRNA
Rfam family: Eukaryotic small subunit ribosomal RNA
Source: RNAcentral